GUCCGCACUGUAAACGAUGAUUACUCGUUGCUGGGGAGCAAUUUCCAGUGACCAAGCGAAAGCGAUAAGUAAUCCACCUGGGGAGUACGCCGGCAACGGUGAAACUCAAAGGAAUUGACGGGGGCCCCGCACAAGCGGAGGAGCAUGUGGUUUAAUUCGAUGAUACGCGAGGAACCUUACCAGGGCUUGAAAGUUAGGGAAUAAUCCUGAAAGGGAUUAGUCAGCAAUGACCCGAAACUAGGUGCUGCAUGGCUGUCGU
Molecule: ribosomal RNA, 259 nt
Filed under: uncultured bacterium
Lineage: Bacteria
Description: partial 16S ribosomal RNA
Rfam family: Bacterial small subunit ribosomal RNA
Source: RNAcentral